This 440-nucleotide ribosomal RNA is filed under the name uncultured bacterium. Its description in RNAcentral is "partial 16S ribosomal RNA". It matches the Rfam family "Bacterial small subunit ribosomal RNA", at positions 338 to 795 of the family's 1533-position model. The record is from RNAcentral.
CCUACGGGUGGCAGCAGUAGGGAAUUUUGCGCAAUGGGCGAAAGCCUGACGCAGCAACACCGCGUGAAUGUUAAGCCCUUCGGGGUGUAAAGUUCUGUCAAUAGGGACGAAUUUUGACUGUACCUAUAAAGGAAGCACCGGCUAACUCCGUGCCAGCAGCCGCGGUAAUACGGGGGGUGCAAGCGUUGUCCGGAAUCAUUGGGCGUAAAGCGUUCGUAGGCGGCAAGGUAAGUCUGAUGUUAAAGCCCGGGGCUCAACUCCGGUUCGGCAUUGGAUACUAUCUAGCUAGAAUGUGGUAGAGGUAAAGGGAAUUCCUGGUGUAGCGGUGAAAUGCGUAGAGAUCAUACAGAACACCGAUUGCGAAGGCAGCUUACCAAUCUAUAUCUGACGUUGAGGCACGAAAGCGUGGGGAGCAAACAGGAUUAGAUACCCCGGUAGUC